GCCGCUAUCGGAACGGUUCUACAACCCGGUGCAUUGUCACGGAGAAAGAACUCCCACCGACAAGCAAUGUCUCAGAAAUGUUGAAUGCGGAAUAAUCAUUGCCCAGCGUCCUGGGGAGAACUUUUCUCUGAAACACUAUCCCGGAUCUCUCCACCCAGCUCAAUUAAAUUAAAACUACCGCCGAGGGAUCGCUUUGCGAGGAAGUGUGGUUUUCUGCUGCGGUGGUCUCGGACCGAGAUGGAGCGAGCUGCGGACUUCAGUGAAGUUUGCGCAUUCCAUUGGGGACCGAGGGUUUUGUCAGGGGUUCGGUUCCAGCGCUCGGGAGAGAGAGAGAGAGAGAGAGAGAAAUCGACGUUCCUGCUGGUGGAACGACACAACACGAUCCCACUAUAGGAUCUCGAGUUAAACAGUCGUACAAGCGCAGGAACAGGUGCCAGCCGGAGCACCCGUCCAGACCAAUCCCGCUUUAGGUCCUUCUACGCGUUGGAUAACGGAAGGAACCUCAGACAGCCUCUUCCCACAAUAACAUUCUCCUGCCUGGAAGCAUCAUCCUACCUGCCUGUGAUGCUGCUGCAAGUUUUUCAUUGUACCUGUACCUCACCGUACUUGUGCAGAUGACAAUAAACUCGACUUGACAGGAGAAUGUGCAGAGAAAAAUGACAAGAAUGAUCCCAGAAAUACAAGGACAUCGAUAUCAGGAAAGGAUGAUUGGAUUGGGUCUCUUUUCUCUUGAGAAGACAGAGGGGCAAUGUUAUGGAAGUCUUUAAAAUCAUGAAGGAUUUGUUAGAAUGGAUGCAGACAGAAUCAUUCCACUUGUAGAGAAAGCAUAACUAGAAGCUAUCAGAAUCAGAUGGUCACUAAGGAAUCCUCCAUUUUGAUUUUGCAAAUCCCGUGACCUUUGUCACCUCAUUUUCCCCCAAUCCUGCCCCAGCCAAUCUUCUGAAUUUAAUUUUUUUUAAAAAUUACACUGGGAUUAGGGAAUCGGCAGAUUCCACGAGGGACCCAUUACGUGGAUGCUUAACUGCGCACUGUUCAAUUCAGGGUUAAGGCAAUUGAGAGAGGCAGGGCUGGGAGAAAAGAACAAAGGAAUCGAACUGGGAUUCUCUACCAGGAGGCCGCAGACAAUUCUAUGAUUCUGGGAAAGCCAACUUACUUUUCUACUUGGGAGUUGGUGGGACUUGAAGAUUCCCUCCCAGGAAGCUAUUAUAUUAAAAUGCAUACUGCCAUUUAAUAACCCAAUUUUUUUUUACACAAGUUCAUUUGAGUGGAGAUCUCAUUCCAAGAAACAUUGUUCUUUGGCACAUUGCUAAUCUUUCCAGUAAAGCUAUGGGAUAUGACCCAGGUCGUAAUAUCUGGAUUAUUAAAGUCACAGCAGUAAGGGUGAGUGUGCACCACAUGGAUUUGGACCCCUCCCCUGUCCUAUCAGGCAGAAGGUACAGGAGCUGGGGGGCACACACCACCAGGCUCAAGGACAGUUUCUAUACCGCUGUGAUGAGACCAUUGAAUGAUUCCCUUAUACGAUGAGAUGGACUCUUGACCUUACAAUCAAUCUUGUUAUGACCUUGCACCUUAUUGUCAACCUGCAAUGCACUUCCCUGUAGCUGUGACACUAUACUCUGUAUUCUAUUAUUGUUUUUACCUGUACUACCCUCAAUGCACUCUGUACUCACCCAAUGUAACUGCACUGUGUAAUGAAUUGACCUGUACAAACGGUAUGCAAGACAAGUUUUUCACUGUACCUCGGUACAAGUGACAAUAAU
Molecule: long non-coding RNA, 1760 nt
Organism: Pristis pectinata (smalltooth sawfish)
Lineage: Eukaryota; Metazoa; Chordata; Chondrichthyes; Rhinopristiformes; Pristidae
Exons: 4
Source: RefSeq, a predicted model, not a curated record